CCCUUAGAUGUCCUGGGCCGCACGCGCGCUACACUGAGUGUCUGAGAUACGAGUCUGCCUGGUCCAGCAAGGUCUAGGUAAUCGCUAAAAGACACAUCAUGCUUGGGAUAGAUUAUUGCAAAUAUUAAUCUUGAACGAGGAAUUCUUAGUAAGCGCAAGUCAACAGCUUGCGUUGAUUACGUCCCUGCCCUUUGUACACACCGCCCGUCGCUACUACUGAUUGGAUGUUUAAGCGAGGUUCUCGAACUGCUAGCGACUUAGCUUCGGUGAGGUCGCAGUGUGGGAAGUGAACCUAGCUUUGGUGUCUAGAGGAAGUAAAAGUCGUAACA
Molecule: ribosomal RNA, 329 nt
Filed under: uncultured eukaryote
Lineage: Eukaryota
Description: partial 18S ribosomal RNA
Rfam family: Eukaryotic small subunit ribosomal RNA
Source: RNAcentral